RNAcentral lists this ribosomal RNA (253 nucleotides) under uncultured bacterium. Its description in RNAcentral is "partial 16S ribosomal RNA". It matches the Rfam family "Bacterial small subunit ribosomal RNA", at positions 524 to 776 of the family's 1533-position model. The record is from RNAcentral.
UACGAAGGGGGCUAGCGUUGCUCGGAAUCACUGGGCGUAAAGCGCACGUAGGCGGCUUGUUAAGUCAGAGGUGAAAUCCUGGAGCUCAACUCCAGAACUGCCUUUGAUACUGAGGAUCUUGAGUUCGGGAGAGGUGAGUGGAACUGCGAGUGUAGAGGUGAAAUUCGUAGAUAUUCGCAAGAACACCAGUGGCGAAGGCGGCUCACUGGCCCGAUACUGACGCUGAGGCACGAAAGCGUGGGGAGCAAACAGG